RNAcentral lists this ribosomal RNA (193 nucleotides) under uncultured Gammaproteobacteria bacterium. RNAcentral's name for it is "partial 16S ribosomal RNA". It matches the Rfam family "Bacterial small subunit ribosomal RNA", at positions 340 to 524 of the family's 1533-position model. The record is from RNAcentral. Lineage: Bacteria; Pseudomonadati; Pseudomonadota; Gammaproteobacteria.
UACGGGAGGCAGCAGUGGGGAAUAUUGGACAAUGGGCGAAAGCCUGAUGCAGCAAUGCCGCGUGUGUGAAGAAGGCCUGCGGGUUGUAAAGCACUUUCAGUAGGGAGGAAACAGUUGCGGGUUAAUAUCCCGCGACCUUGACGUUACCUACAGAAGAAGCACCGGCUAACUCUGUGCCAGCGACCGCGGUAAU